GAUGAAGAACGUAGCGAAAUGCGAUACGUAAUGUGAAUUGCAGAAUUCAGUGAAUCAUCGAGUCUUUGAACGCACAUUGCGCCCCCUGGUAUUCCGGGGGGCAUGCCUGUCCGAGCGUCAUUGCUGCCCUCAAGCACGGCUUGUGUGUUGGGCCUCCGUCCUCCUCCCGGGGGACGGGCCCGAAAGGCAGCGGCGGCACCGCGUCCGGUCCUCGAGCGUAUGGGGCUUCGUCACCCGCUCUUGUAGGCCCGGCCGGCGCUUGCCGACACAUCCAUCUUUUUUCCAGGUUGACCUCGGAUCAGGUAGGGAUACCCACUGAACUUAAGCAUAUCAAUAAGCGGAGGA
This 345-nucleotide unclassified non-coding RNA is filed under the name soil metagenome. RNAcentral describes it as "partial contains 5.8S ribosomal RNA, internal transcribed spacer 2, and large subunit ribosomal RNA". The stretch from base 1 to 120 matches the Rfam family "5.8S ribosomal RNA", at positions 35 to 154 of the family's 154-position model. The record is from RNAcentral.